AACGAACGCUGGCGGCAUGCCUAACACAUGCAAGUCGAACGAGACCUUCGGGUCUAGUGGCGCACGGGUGCCUAACGCGUGGGAAUCUGCCCUUGGGUUCGGAAUAACAGUUAGAAAUGACUGCUAAUACCGGAUGAUGUCUUCGGACCAAAGAUUUAUCGCCCAGGGAUGAGCCCGCGUAGGAUUAGCUAGUUGGUGAGGUAAAGGCUCACCAAGGCGACGAUCCUUAGCUGGUCUGAGAGGAUGAUCAGCCACACUGGGACUGAGACACGACCCAGACUCCUACGGGAGGCAGCAGUGGGGAAUAUUGGACAAUGGGCGAAAGCCUGAUCCAGCAAUGCCGCGAGAGUGAUGAAGGCCUUAGGGUUGUAAAGCUCUUUUACCCGGGAUGAUAAUGACAGUACCGGGAGAAUAAGCCCCGGCUAACUCCGUGCCAGCAGCCGCGGUAAUACGGAGGGGGCUAGCGUUGUUCGGAAUUACUGGGCGUAAAGCGCGCGUAGGCGGCUUUGUAAGUUAGAGGUGAAAGCCCGGAGCUCAACUCCGGAACUGCCUUUAAGACUGCAUCGCUAGAAUCGUGGAGAGGUGAGUGGAAUUCCGAGUGUAGAGGUGAAAUUCGUAGAUAUUCGGAAGAACACCAGUGGCGAAGGCGACUCACUGGACACGUAUUGACGCUGA
This 675-nucleotide ribosomal RNA is filed under the name uncultured bacterium. RNAcentral describes it as "bacterial SSU rRNA". It matches the Rfam family "Bacterial small subunit ribosomal RNA", at positions 28 to 749 of the family's 1533-position model. The record is from RNAcentral.